This 304-nucleotide ribosomal RNA is filed under the name uncultured bacterium. Its description in RNAcentral is "partial 16S ribosomal RNA". It matches the Rfam family "Bacterial small subunit ribosomal RNA", at positions 506 to 807 of the family's 1533-position model. The record is from RNAcentral.
CAGCAGUAGCCGCGGUAAUACGGAGGGCGCGAGCGUUACCCGGAUUUACUGGGCGUAAAGGGCGUGUAGGCGACCUGGGGCGUCCCAUGUGAAAGGCCACGGCUCAACCGUGGAGGAGCGUGGGAUACGCUCAGGCUAGAGGGUGGGAGAGGGUGGUGGAAUUCCCGGAGUAGCGGUGAAAUGCGCAGAUACCGGGAGGAACACCGAUGGCGAAGGCAGCCACCUGGUCCACUUCUGACGCUGAGGCGCGAAAGCGUGGGGAGCAAACCGGAUUAGAUACCCCUGUAGUCCCUGUCUCUUAUAC